CAUUAAGAAGCUAUGUACCAGCACUAGCCUUUUAAGCUAGAGAAAGAGAGGUAAGCCCCCUCCUUAAUGA
RNAcentral lists this transfer RNA (70 nucleotides) under Pomatostomus ruficeps (chestnut-crowned babbler). RNAcentral's name for it is "tRNA-Lys". The record is from RNAcentral. Lineage: Eukaryota; Metazoa; Chordata; Aves; Passeriformes; Timaliidae.